CGAACGGGUGAGUAACACGUGGGCAACCUGCCCAAAAGAGGGGGAUAACACUUGGAAACAGGUGCUAAUACCGCACAACCAUAGUUACCGCAUGGUAACUAUGUAAAAGGUGGCUAUGCUACCGCUUUUGGAUGGGCCCGCGGCGCAUUAGCUAGUUGGUGGGGUAAAGGCUUACCAAGGCAAUGAUGCGUAGCCGAACUGAGAGGUUGAUCGGCCACACUGGGACUGAGACACGGCCCAAACUCCUACGGGAGGCAGCAG
Molecule: ribosomal RNA, 261 nt
Filed under: uncultured bacterium
Lineage: Bacteria
Description: partial 16S ribosomal RNA
Rfam family: Bacterial small subunit ribosomal RNA
Source: RNAcentral